AAGGCCUUAGCUUAAUUAAAGUAGCUGGGUUGCAUUCAGUAGAUACGGGUGAGAAACCUGUAGGUCUUA
Molecule: transfer RNA, 69 nt
Filed under: Neosalanx taihuensis
Lineage: Eukaryota; Metazoa; Chordata; Actinopteri; Osmeriformes; Salangidae
Also listed under: 1 other name
Description: tRNA-Ala
Rfam family: tRNA
About the family: Transfer RNA (tRNA) molecules are approximately 80 nucleotides in length. Their secondary structure includes four short double-helical elements and three loops (D, anti-codon, and T loops).
Source: RNAcentral